UUUUGUGGCUCCUUUCUUUUAAAAAGGUUGAUCCACCCCCUACAAUUUUCCACAGUUUUGGGGGGCAUUUCAGGGCAUUCCUAGGCACAAGUGGGGAUUCGUGGGCACAUACAUACCGCAUGGAGCGCACACCACAAAGACUACUAAUUAAUCUCAAGUAAACACCUCAGACAACAUGCUAUAUGUGUAAAAGAAAGAGUGGAUUUUCCAGAAGAAAGACUGAAACGCUCUAGAGAAGCACUGAGAAAAACACAGUCUAUACUCAAGUCCUUAAUGGUUUGGGCCCUGGAUUUCUGAAGGACUGCCUGCUUCCAAGAGUUUCUGCCCACUUGACAAGAUCAUCAGAGGGGGCUCUGCUCCGUGUGCUGACAAUGAGAAAGGCUCAGUUGUCAAUCACAUAGAACAGGGCCUUCUCAAACAUUGUUCCCAGGCUUUGGAUGCUUUCCCAGCUGACAUCCACUCCUCAGUCUCCUUGACAGUUUUUAGGGGGAAAGUAAAGAUGUGGCUCUUCACCCAGGCUUUUGAAUAAAAGUAUUGUUUUUACUGCU
This is a long non-coding RNA of Hemicordylus capensis (graceful crag lizard), 548 nucleotides long. RefSeq lists it as uncharacterized. The record is from RefSeq and is a predicted model, not a curated record. Lineage: Eukaryota; Metazoa; Chordata; Lepidosauria; Squamata; Cordylidae. The transcript has 2 exons.